RNAcentral lists this ribosomal RNA (164 nucleotides) under uncultured bacterium. Its description in RNAcentral is "partial 16S rRNA". It matches the Rfam family "Bacterial small subunit ribosomal RNA", at positions 355 to 511 of the family's 1533-position model. The record is from RNAcentral.
UAGGGAAUCUUCCACAAUGGACGCAAGUCUGAUGGAGCAACGCCGCGUGAGUGAAGAAGGUCUUCGGAUCGUAAAACUCUGUUGUUAGAGAAGAACACGAGUGAGAGUAACUGUUCAUUCGAUGACGGUAUCUAAUCAGCAAGUCACGGCUAACUACUCGCCAG